RNAcentral lists this ribosomal RNA (440 nucleotides) under Gottfriedia acidiceleris. RNAcentral describes it as "bacterial SSU rRNA". It matches the Rfam family "Bacterial small subunit ribosomal RNA", at positions 89 to 514 of the family's 1533-position model. Lineage: Bacteria; Bacillati; Bacillota; Bacilli; Caryophanales; Bacillaceae. The record is from RNAcentral.
UAGUUAGCGGCGGACGGGUGAGUAACACGUGGGCAACCUACCUGUAAAACUGGGAUAACUUCGGGAAACCGGAGCUAAUACCGGAUGACAUAAAGGAACUCCUGUUCCUUUAUUGAAAGAUGGCUUCGGCUAUCACUUACAGAUGGGCCCGCGGCGCAUUAGCUAGUUGGUGAGGUAACGGCUCACCAAGGCGACGAUGCGUAGCCGACCUGAGAGGGUGAUCGGCCACACUGGGACUGAGACACGGCCCAGACUCCUACGGGAGGCAGCAGUAGGGAAUCUUCCGCAAUGGACGAAAGUCUGACGGAGCAACGCCGCGUGAGCGAUGAAGGCCUUCGGGUCGUAAAGCUCUGUUGUUAGGGAAGAAUAAGUGCUAGUUGAAUAAGCUGGCACCUUGACGGUACCUAACCAGAAAGCCACGGCUAACUACGUGCCAGCAC